This 253-nucleotide ribosomal RNA is filed under the name uncultured bacterium. RNAcentral's name for it is "partial 16S ribosomal RNA". It matches the Rfam family "Bacterial small subunit ribosomal RNA", at positions 524 to 776 of the family's 1533-position model. The record is from RNAcentral.
UACGUAGGGCGCAAGCGUUGUCCGGAAUUAUUGGGCGUAAAGAGUGCGUAGGCGGUCCUGUAAGUUUGGUGUGAAAUCUCCCGGCUCAACUGGGAGGGUGCGCCGAAGACUGCAGGGCUUGAGUAUGGGAGAGGUAAGCGGAAUUCCUGGUGUAGCGGUGAAAUGCGUAGAUAUCAGGAGGAACACCUGUGGUGUAGACAGCUUACUGGACCAUAACUGACGCUGAGGCACGAAAGCGUGGGUAGCAAACAGG